CAGAAUCUUUAGGAUAAUGCCAUAUCAUUUUAACUAAUUAGACAACUUUGAUAUUGAGCAUGUUUACAUUUCAGGAAGUUUAUGUAAUGAUUAAUUUAGAAACUUAUCAGACUAGACUGACACUAGUGGUCCCAGGCAGACUAUCUAAGUAUCAGUAAGCUCCCUUGGCAAAUCUAAUAUUUGAUUCAAAAAUUGCCAUUGUAUAGUUUUCUAUUGCAAUGAUGUAAUGUUUGCAUUUAUCUAGUAAACAAAUAAUAUAUAUCAUAUAAUAAUAUAAAUCUGUAGAGAUUAAGCACUAUUAAUAGUGAAGAAUAACUUUAUUUCUUAAGUAACAAACGUUAAAUGGCAUUUUAAAAUCAUCAACCAAAUGUAGCAACAACAUAGUCUAUUUAUCCAACAAAGUAACACUGUGAUUACAACUUACCUGAAAGAUAAAAAGAUAAGCUAAAGAUAAAAAAAGAGCUAUAAAGGCAAACCUAAGAAAGAUAUAUAUGUCUGAAAGUUAAAAUAGAUCUUUAACCAAUAAUUACCCAGAUUGACCAGGACAUCCCUAGACCUCAGCCAAAUAGUAACAAUUCUAGGGGACAUUCAUUUAUCAUUGUAUAUAGAGAAGUUAUUAAAGAAAGGCCGUUCAUAUGCUCUGAGGACCUCUUUUGUAGUCCUAGAUGAAAUACCACUUAUACCUGUAGACAAUAUCUUCACUUCUAUAGAUAACUUUGAAAAAAAAAUUAAGAUAGUCUUGCCUUAGCCAAAAACUUAGAACUAUUACUUAGGAGAAAGACAAAGAUGCAUGUCUCUUUAAGAGAACACUGAUAUGGCUGAAUCAUAACAACUAUACCAUAACGAAGGAGGAUAAGACACAUAAGAUGGUUCUUUUAAACAGAACAACCUACGACGAAUUACUAAAUGCUUACAUCUCUCAAACAAAUGCUAAACCACUACUGAAAGAUCCAACUAAGAAGUUAGCUCGUAAAGUCAAAACUAUAGUUAAACAUAAGCACUUUACACAAAUCUGGAAAACUAAGAAAGUUAAUGGGCCAGCUUGUCCUAGACUUUUUGCCUAUAUAAAAACUACAAAAAUUUUGUUAGCAGC
Molecule: long non-coding RNA, 1093 nt
Filed under: Androctonus crassicauda
Lineage: Eukaryota; Metazoa; Arthropoda; Arachnida; Scorpiones; Buthidae
Source: RNAcentral